This 384-nucleotide unclassified non-coding RNA is filed under the name Hevea brasiliensis (rubber tree). The record is from RNAcentral. Lineage: Eukaryota; Viridiplantae; Streptophyta; Magnoliopsida; Malpighiales; Euphorbiaceae.
AGAGGCUAAUGCAACAUCGUCUCGGUUUGUAAUUAUCCUUUUUCAAUCAUGUGUUUGUUCUCAAAUUAACGCUCUGAUUCCAUUGCAUAUGAACAUUAAAGCCUUUUAACGAGUAUAUUCUAUUAAGAUACAUCAUCAUCAAAUGUUUGGUAUUCCAACCUCUUAUUUCUUUGUAACUGUAUUAUAAAGAGUAAUCAUUAAAAGGGACUAAGGUUUUCAAUUUAAUGAUUGAAAAUCAGAAAAAUGCGUCAUUACAUUGUGAGAGGAAAAGUUGCUCAACAGCUGUAUUGGAAACUUAUUUUACAUUAGCCUUUUCUUUGUUUUCUUUGCCAUGUAAUGAAAUUAUAUCUCAUUUAACCAGAUCGCAUGCUGUUUUAGAGAUAA